CGCAGGGUAGAGCAGUUGGCUAGCUCGUUGGGCUCAUAACCCAAAGGUCGGAGGUUCGAGUCCUCCCCCUGCUA
Molecule: transfer RNA, 74 nt
Filed under: Entomospira nematocerorum
Lineage: Bacteria; Pseudomonadati; Spirochaetota; Spirochaetia; Spirochaetales; Spirochaetaceae
Also listed under: 1 other name
Rfam family: tRNA
About the family: Transfer RNA (tRNA) molecules are approximately 80 nucleotides in length. Their secondary structure includes four short double-helical elements and three loops (D, anti-codon, and T loops). Further hydrogen bonds mediate the characteristic L-shaped molecular structure. tRNAs have two regions of fundamental functional importance: the anti-codon, which is responsible for specific mRNA codon recognition, and the 3' end, to which the tRNAs corresponding amino acid is attached (by aminoacyl-tRNA synthetases). tRNAs cope with the degeneracy of the genetic code in two manners: having more than one tRNA (with a specific anti-codon) for a particular amino acid; and 'wobble' base-pairing, i.e. permitting non-standard base-pairing at the 3rd anti-codon position.
Source: Rfam by way of RNAcentral